Molecule: ribosomal RNA, 78 nt
Filed under: Colobus angolensis palliatus
Lineage: Eukaryota; Metazoa; Chordata; Mammalia; Primates; Cercopithecidae
Source: RNAcentral
CUCUACAGACAUACCACCCUGAAUGCACCUGAUCUCCUCUGAUCUUGGAAGCUAAGCAGGGUUGGGCCUGGUUAGUGC